RNAcentral lists this microRNA precursor (172 nucleotides) under Setaria italica (foxtail millet). RNAcentral's name for it is "MIR2118 microRNA precursor family". It matches the Rfam family "MIR2118 microRNA precursor family". Lineage: Eukaryota; Viridiplantae; Streptophyta; Magnoliopsida; Poales; Poaceae. The record is from Rfam by way of RNAcentral.
GCUGGGAAGAGGAAGAAAGAGAGAGCUCAAGAGCAGUGGGAAUGGGAACAUGGAGGAAACCCUACCCUGUUUGUUUUCUCCUCCAGAAACAGAGGUGGAAGCUUCGGUUUGGUGUUUCCCGGUGCCUCCCAUUCCUAUCGUUCUUAAGCGCUCCUUCCUCUUCUUUUUUGCU